CCUACGGGAGGCAGCAGUGAGGAAUAUUGGUCAAUGGGCUUACGCCUGAACCAGCCAAGUCGCGUGAGGGAAGACUGCCCUAUGGGUUGUAAACCUCUUUUGUCAGGGAGCAACGCCGGCUACGUGUAGCCGGACUGAGAGUACCUGAAGAAAAAGCAUCGGCUAACUCCGUGCCAGCAGCCGCGGUAAUACGGAGGAUGCGAGCGUUAUUCGGAUUUAUUGGGUUUAAAGGGUGCGUAGGCGGACUGGAAAGUCAGCGGUAAAAUCGAGAGGCUCAACCUCUUUCCGCCGUUGAAACUGUCGGUCUUGAGUGGGCGAGAAGUAUGCGGAAUGCGUGGUGUAGCGGUGAAAUGCAUAGAUAUCACGCAGAACUCCGAUUGCGAAGGCAGCAUACCGGCGCCCGACUGACGCUGAGGCACGAAAGCGUGGGUAUCGAACAGGAUUAGAUACCCUAGUAGUC
Molecule: ribosomal RNA, 460 nt
Filed under: uncultured bacterium
Lineage: Bacteria
Description: partial 16S ribosomal RNA
Rfam family: Bacterial small subunit ribosomal RNA
Source: RNAcentral